Molecule: long non-coding RNA, 2452 nt
Filed under: Musa acuminata (dwarf banana)
Lineage: Eukaryota; Viridiplantae; Streptophyta; Magnoliopsida; Zingiberales; Musaceae
Description: long non-coding RNA (MACU_LNC011365)
Source: RNAcentral
ACUCCCAUGUUUUAAGGUCGAAUGGGCAGCGAAGAUGAGGUUUAAAUGAAGGACUGCACACUUGACAAGGCUUUGGCAUGGAUAAAGCAGCCACUGGUGAUUCAUUCUAACCACUGAGACCCUUCCACAAAGAAGGUAUGCUGAAGUACAUGAUCAUAUACUGAACUCCACCUUCAUUUUUACUUCUCUUGUCAAGAUUAAACUAAACAGAAACAUGCAGGAUUUAAUGGUGUUUCCAUGACUGUGUGCUAGAUUGAAAAAACAUAAAUUAAAAUUAAAAUAAAUUUACAUUACAUUAAAUGACGUACAUGAUGCUCAUAGGUGGAUUCGAACAUGACGGCUCGAGAGAGACUAAUACUAUACAUGCAUAGUUGUUAUCUGGUGUACAUACAUACACUCUAACCUCUGCACAAGUAUAUACAGGUAUAUGUCGCGACAAAAAAAAUUGCCUUUUAUUAGCAACAUAAAGCUUAAAAAGAAACCAUCUGAAGUGCUGAAAUGAGCAAUAGUUAGCUGUUGGUGACCUGAUAUGAUCAAUCCUUUCCUUUGUUGAUGUUCAUGUACAGGUUUUACUUUAGAAUUAAAAGACUCAAAAUCAAUUAUUAGCACUGCAUUGAUAGUAUAUCUUACUUUCAGCUUCAUUUCCUUGUAGCAGAAAAAACUUCACUUCCUAUCCCUAACUACCAGACUCAUCUCUAUAACAAUCAGGGAGUCAGCUGCAAUGUUUGGCUAUCAGCAGGUCAACUUUCCUAGCUUUUAGUCAACUUCAAAAAUAUAAUGUGACAUGAACAGCCAAGGAAUCAGAUUCCAUGUUUUGCUAUCAGCAGGUCUACUUUCCAAGCUCAUUUGUGUCAAUUUCUACCUUUUUUUUGUAGGUCAAAUAUAAUAUGCUAUGGAGAAAACUAGAAGCAUUUCAUUUCCCACUAAGCAUGUCAUCAACAAGAUUACUUUUCCCCUUGAUAUUUCCUAUUUGCAUGGAAUUAAUGACUUUGCUAAAACAUCAUGAUGUAUUUGAUAUCUUGAGACUUUACUGAGCCUUACAACAUGCUAAACCUUGUCAAAUGUCCAAAUCAAAUUCAUGAUAUAUUUGAUGACACAAAACAAGUUGAUAUGACUCAUAUUUAGAAUGUUACUGAUCAUAGUUGUAGCCUUUUCAUGGUCCUAGCAAUAGUGUUGUUAAGGCCUUUUUAUUACUCUGAGAAAUAUUGUCCAACAUUCUUGGAGCACUAAUAAACUGAUUUUUCUCAACAUUUAGGAUUCUGAAACCUAAAAUAAGAAGAAAAAAAACAUAUAUUCUGAAUCCUUCAGCAAUCUGUUGAUGGCAUCAAGUUUGCCCCAGUUUUCUCAACAUCAGAAGUUUCCUGCUGGAAGACCCAAUCAAUAACUAGUACUAUCUGAGAAAUUGCUGAUCCAAUAUAUAUGAUGCUUCAAUCAGAUAACAAUGGCAUGCUUAAGCUAUUGUGUGGAUACUGAGUUUGGAAGAGCCAAUAGAAUCAUAUGAAACUUUGGGUGUUACUACAAUUUCAGAAAGCAUUUGAGGUAGUGAAAGACCUAAUUUAUUUGACAAGUCUUUUACUCCCUCAUCCUGAAAACACAUUUGAAACUGGUUAUUGAAUUUAGCUUCUUCAUCAACAUGAAGAGAGAAUAAAAUUUUCAUCAACUCUUGUUUUUGGCAAGGAAAAGAAUAAAUAAAUUCUCAUUAUAUCAGAUAUUUCAUUACUUUGACCCUACUGAAGCACACAUAUAUUACAAGGGAAGAAAAAUGAUACAGUGGUGAGGAUUUGGAAGCCAUCGGCAGCUUCUCAAUUUCCACAAAGUGAUCUAUUUCUCCUUUGCUCGAACUAAACGCUGUAGUGAUCGAGACCUCGGCAACACGGAUGACAACCUAGGUAAUGAUCUCAUCUGGCAUGGCAGCAAACCUUGCUCGUCUCUGUGAAUGAGAAAAGGGUUAGUUCAGUGAGCAAGUAAUCGGCAGGCACUGCACAAAAGGUAAGAAGAUGUUUCAGGAAGCAAUAUAAUCGAUCUUGGGUACUUCUCUCACCAGAUUUUACUUUGACUCGGCUACUUAGUGUCUAGAUUGUUAUCUAGAAAAGGAGGUCAUUAAUGGGAGUCGAAAACCAUCUUGUCUUGCAUCGCAUUCAUCGACUUGACAUGAAGAACAGAGUGGUUUUGGGCAAGAAAACAAGAAGGUGAGAGCGGAUAUUGGUGAACCGGCAAAGGUUUGACUUGUUGGUUCUUGGUCAAGUGGGUGUGUCAUUCUCCAUCUUUUUUUAAUGCAGCUGACAGAGAUGAAUUAGAUUUCAUAUUUGUUCUCUUACUAUGAACUCCUUGAAGGUUGUCUCAUGCAUUCACAUCCUAUUAAUUCCUUCCACCGAUCUUAUAGCAGAAGUCAAAGAUUAGCAUUCGGCAGCACGUACCUCCUUCCGUCCGGUUCCCACAGCCGGUGUCCGCA